AAAGAAAAUAACAAUGAUUCCCCUAGUAACUGCGAGUGAAGAGGGACAAGCUCAAAUUUUAAAUCUAUCGGGUUUUACCUGAUCGAGUUGUAAUUUGAAGAAGCGUUUUCUGCGUAUUUGGUCAGCCUAAGUCCUAUUGAAUGAGGCAUCAUGGAGGGUGAUAAUCCCGUCCGGUUGAUCAUUUGCGUUUUAUGAUACGCUCUCUAAGAGUCAAGUUGUUUGGGAUUGCAGCUUAAAAUGGGAGGUAAAUUUCUCCUAAGGCUAAAUAACGGCGAGAGACCGAUAGCGAACAAGUACCGUGAGGGAAAGAUGAAAAGAACUUUGAAAAGAGAGUUAAACAGUACGUGAAAUUGUUGAAAGGGAAACGAUUGAAGCCAGUCGUACCUUCGGGUAAUCAGCCUUUCGGGUGCGAUUCUGUGGAGUUUGAGGAGCUUAACACCUUCAUGCUUUGCAUAUUUGUGCUCUUGGGUGUACUUGCCCGUGUGGUUGGUUAACAUCAAUUUCGGACACCAUAAAAUGGCUGGAGGAAUGUAGCUUCGAUCUUGUAUUGAAGUGUUAUAGCCUUCGGUAGAUGUGGUGAUCGAGAUUGAGGAUUGCAACGGAUACCCUUCGGGGCUACCUGUCUGGUCUCUGAUCGUUGCUUUGGUGCUGAAAGCGUGCUUAUAGUUAUCAAAGUCGAUGGUCAAUAGGUUAGAAUGGGUUAAAUU
Molecule: ribosomal RNA, 707 nt
Filed under: uncultured Glomeromycotina
Lineage: Eukaryota; Fungi; Glomeromycota
Description: eukaryotic LSU rRNA
Rfam family: Eukaryotic large subunit ribosomal RNA
Source: RNAcentral